RNAcentral lists this ribosomal RNA (1372 nucleotides) under uncultured bacterium. Its description in RNAcentral is "bacterial SSU rRNA". It matches the Rfam family "Bacterial small subunit ribosomal RNA", at positions 28 to 1381 of the family's 1533-position model. The record is from RNAcentral.
GAUGAACGCUGGCGGCGUGCCUAAUACAUGCAAGUCGAGCGAACGGACGAGAAGCUUGCUUCUCUGAUGUUAGCGGCGGACGGGUGAGUAACACGUGGAUAACCUACCUAUAAGACUGGGAUAACUUCGGGAAACCGUAGCUAAUACCGGAUAAUAUUUUGAACCGCAUGGUUCAAAAGUGAAAGACGGUCUUGCUGUCACUUAUAGAUGGAUCCGCGCUGCAUUAGCUAGUUGGUAAGGUAACGGCUUACCAAGGCAACGAUGCAUAGCCGACCUGAGAGGGUGAUCGGCCACACUGGAACUGAGACACGGUCCAGACUCCUACGGGAGGCAGCAGUAGGGAAUCUUCCGCAAUGGGCGAAAGCCUGACGGAGCAACGCCGCGUGAGUGAUGAAGGUCUUCGGAUCGUAAAACUCUGUUAUUAGGGAAGAACAUAUGUGUAAGUAACUGUGCACAUCUUGACGGUACCUAAUCAGAAAGCCACGGCUAACUACGUGCCAGCAGCCGCGGUAAUACGUAGGUGGCAAGCGUUAUCCGGAAUUAUUGGGCGUAAAGCGCGCGUAGGCGGUUUUUUAAGUCUGAUGUGAAAGCCCACGGCUCAACCGUGGAGGGUCAUUGGAAACUGGAAAACUUGAGUGCAGAAGAGGAAAGUGGAAUUCCAUGUGUAGCGGUGAAAUGCGCAGAGAUAUGGAGGAACACCAGUGGCGAAGGCGACUUUCUGGUCUGUAACUGACGCUGAUGUGCGAAAGCGUGGGGAUCAAACAGGAUUAGAUACCCUGGUAGUCCACGCCGUAAACGAUGAGUGCUAAGUGUUAGGGGGUUUCCGCCCCUUAGUGCUGCAGCUAACGCAUUAAGCACUCCGCCUGGGGAGUACGACCGCAAGGUUGAAACUCAAAGGAAUUGACGGGGACCCGCACAAGCGGUGGAGCAUGUGGUUUAAUUCGAAGCAACGCGAAGAACCUUACCAAAUCUUGACAUCCUUUGACAACUCUAGAGAUAGAGCCUUCCCCUUCGGGGGACAAAGUGACAGGUGGUGCAUGGUUGUCGUCAGCUCGUGUCGUGAGAUGUUGGGUUAAGUCCCGCAACGAGCGCAACCCUUAAGCUUAGUUGCCAUCAUUAAGUUGGGCACUCUAAGUUGACCGCCGGUGACAAACCGGAGGAAGGUGGGGAUGACGUCAAAUCAUCAUGCCCCUUAUGAUUUGGGCUACACACGUGCUACAAUGGACAAUACAAAGGGCAGCGAAACCGCGAGGUCAAGCAAAUCCCAUAAAGUUGUUCUCAGUUCGGAUUGUAGUCUGCAACUCGACUACAUGAAGCUGGAAUCGCUAGUAAUCGUAGAUCAGCAUGCUACGGUGAAUACGUUCCCGGGUCU